GACGAACGCUGGCGGCGUGCCUAAUACAUGCAAGUUGAGCGCUGAAGGCUGGUACUUGUACCAACUGGAUGAGCAGCGAACGGGUGAGUAACGCGUGGGGAAUCUGCCUUUGAGCGGGGGACAACAUUUGGAAACGAAUGCUAAUACCGCAUAAAAACUUUAAACACAAGUUUUAAGUUUGAAAGAUGCAAUUGCAUCACUCAAAGAUGAUCCCGCGUUGUAUUAGCUAGUUGGUGGGGUAAAGGCUCACCAAGGCGAUGAUACAUAGCCGACCUGAGAGGGUGAGAGGCCACAUUGGGACGGAGACACGGCCCAAACCCCUGCGAGAGGCAGCAGGAGGGAAUCUUCGGCAAUGGACGAAAGUCUGACCGAUCAACGCCGCGUGAGUGAAGAAGGGCUUCGGAUCGUAAAACUCUGUUGGUAGAGAAGAACGUUGGUGAGAGUGGAAAGCUCAUCAAGUGACGGUAACUACCCAGAAAGGGACGGCUAACUACGUG
RNAcentral lists this ribosomal RNA (497 nucleotides) under uncultured bacterium. RNAcentral describes it as "partial 16S ribosomal RNA". It matches the Rfam family "Bacterial small subunit ribosomal RNA", at positions 28 to 507 of the family's 1533-position model. The record is from RNAcentral.